AUUGAACGCUGGCGGCAGGCCUAACACAUGCAAGUCGAGCGAGAAAGUACUUCGGUACGAGUAAAGCGGCGGACGGGUGAGUAACGCGUAGGAAUCUACCUGGUAGUGGGGGACAACAUGUGGAAACGCAUGCUAAUACCGCAUACGACCUAAGGGUGAAAGUGGGGGACCUUCGGGCCUCACGCUAUCGGAUGAGCCUGCGUAAGAUUAGCUAGUUGGUGAGGUAAGAGCUCACCAAGGCGACGAUCUUUAGCUGGUCUGAGAGGAUGAUCAGCCACACUGGGACUGAGACACGGCCCAGACUCCUACGGGAGGCAGCAGUGGGGAAUAUUGCGCAAUGGAGGAAACUCUGACGCAGCCAUGCCGCGUGUGUGAAGAAGGCCUUAGGGUUGUAAAGCACUUUCAAUUGGGAAGAAAGGUUGUACGUUAAUAGCGUGCAGCUGUGACAUUACCUUUAGAAGAAGCACCGGCUAACUCCGUGCCAGCAGCCGCGGUAAUACGGAGGGUGCGAGCGUUAAUCGGAAUUACUGGGCGUAAAGCGCGCGUAGGCGGUUUGUUAAGUCGGAUGUGAAAGCCCUGGGCUCAACCUGGGAACUGCAUUCGAUACUGGCAAACUAGAGUGCGAGAGAGGGAGGUAGAAUUCCAUGUGUAGCGGUGAAAUGCGUAGAUAUGUGGAGGAAUACCGGUGGCGAAGGCGGCCUCCUGGCUCGACACUGACGCUGAUGGCGAUGA
RNAcentral lists this ribosomal RNA (732 nucleotides) under gamma proteobacterium IMCC15019. Its description in RNAcentral is "bacterial SSU rRNA". It matches the Rfam family "Bacterial small subunit ribosomal RNA", at positions 28 to 759 of the family's 1533-position model. Lineage: Bacteria; Pseudomonadati; Pseudomonadota; Gammaproteobacteria. The record is from RNAcentral.